Molecule: RNA transcript, 1736 nt
Organism: Asparagus officinalis (garden asparagus)
Lineage: Eukaryota; Viridiplantae; Streptophyta; Magnoliopsida; Asparagales; Asparagaceae
Exons: 7
Source: RefSeq, a predicted model, not a curated record
CGCGUGGCCAUCAUCUACAAUUCUUCAGAUCUUCUCCUCCUUAACAAAACGAAAUCGAUCCUCUCAAAAAUGCCGAUCUUCAAAAACCCUACCCCUAAAUCCAAACUCACCAUCCCCAAAUCCGGAUCCAAAUCCCUCCUCCUCUCGAUCUCCACCAUCUCCAUCGUCCUCCUCCUCCUCCUCUUCUCCUCCUCUUCAAUCCCCACGUCUCGAUUCUCGAUCUCAAGCGAUCUCGCCAUGAGUUCUAUAGGAAUCGAGCAGAAGAACGAUGAGACGUUGAAGUGGAAGGGGAAGAAGUUCUUGUAUUGGGGGAAUCGGAUCGAUUGCCCUGGUAAGCAUUGCGAUUCUUGCGCGGGGUUAGGGCAUCAGGAGUCUAGCUUGCGGUGCGCUCUCGAGGAGGCCUUGUUUCUCAAUAGGGUCUUUGUGAUGCCAUCAAGAAUGUGCAUCAACCCAAUACACAAUAAGAAGGGAAUUCUCCAUCACUCAACUGACGGAAGUUCAGAUGAAGGAUGGGCUGCAAGUUCUUGUACGAUGGACUCUUUGUAUGACAUGGAUCUCAUUUCUGAAACCAUACCUGUAAUUCUGGACAAUUCGAAGACAUGGCAUCGAGUAAUAUCAACAAGUAUGAAGUUAGGAAAGAUGGGGGUGGCACACGUGCAAGGUUUCAGCAAAGUCGACCUGAAAGACAGUAGUCUCUACUCAAAUGUUUUAUUAAUAAACCGCACUGCAAGUCCUCUAUCCUGGUUUAUGGAAUGCAAGGAUCGGAACAAUCACAGUUCAGUUUUGCUCCCAUAUUCAUUCCUCCCAUCAAUGGCAGCCAAAGAGCUAAGAGUUGCAGCAGAUAAGAUUAAAGAACUUCUUGGUGAUUAUGAUGCCAUACAUGUACGCCGUGGGGAUAUUUUAAAGACGAGGAAAGAUAGACAUGGUGUUGAAAGGACUCUUCAUCCUCAUCUGGACAGAGAUACACGACCUGAAUUUAUUCAACUGAGAAUAGCAAAAUGGAUUCCGCCAGGACGUACUCUUUUCAUUGCUUCAAAUGAGAGAUCACCUGGCUUCUUUUCGCCUCUAUCUGCCAGGAUGGUGGGGACACAUUCUAUCAGUUCCUUAAAUACCCACUCUAGCUCCACAGCGUCAGUAGAUAGUACAUGGGAGCCAACCUAAAAAACUGAGAAUAUUAUUUUGAUGAUACAGACCCGGAAGAGAUCUUGGCUGACCAUGCAACGCCAGACUCCUACGAUGUCGAGAUAGUAAAGGUCAUUGCAUUAGAUUCUUCUGAGUCCGAGACUGAUCCCUCGGGUGAUGAUGAAUCAGCUGAAAAUUUUAUCGCUGUGGAGCCCUUACCCUCUGAGGUCAUCAUGAUUGCAUCAGACUCCUCCAGCAUUGAGUCUUAUAUGACUGGGGCCUUCAAUAAUGAAGAGGAAUUCGCCUUAUUUGAGAGCGAGUCAGGUAUCCUUGAUAGAAGUGUUGAUCUUGAUCUUGAUAGGCGAGGGACUUGUGGAAUCGAUGCAAACCCUGUAUCUGAUUUUGAGCGUAGCGAAGGCUCAGAGGAGACCAAGCCAAUGGAGGAAGACUCGGAGGAGACGGAGUCAACAAACUGAAGUAACUUCCUUAAUCUGUUACAAUGUGGUGCACUCUUCAAACUACAGCGAUAUUCUGAACCCUGUGAUCAAGAACAACUACCAGUUAUUCAUGGUCGAAAGGUUAAUUUUGGCAGGUGCAACAACUUUUGUGAAGAC